UACGUAGGGGGCGAGCGUUGUCCGGAAUCACUGGGCGUAAAGGGCGCGUAGGCGGUUUAAUAAGUCAGUGGUGAAAACUGAGGGCUCGACCCUCAGCCUGCCACUGAUACUGUUAGACUUGAGUAUGGAAGAGGAGAAUGGAAUUCCUAGUGUAGCGGUGAAAUGCGUAGAUAUUAGGAGGAACACCAGUGGCGAAGGCGAUUCUCUGGGCCAAGACUGACGCUGAGGCGCGAAAGCGUGGGGAGCAAACAGG
Molecule: ribosomal RNA, 253 nt
Filed under: uncultured bacterium
Lineage: Bacteria
Description: partial 16S ribosomal RNA
Rfam family: Bacterial small subunit ribosomal RNA
Source: RNAcentral